AAGAUCGCCAAAAAGGGCAAAAAGCAGCUCUUAAAGAGGCUGCGAGUACCAAAGGGGGAGGUAACAGCAAAAAGGCCCUGAAAAAGGCACUCAAGGGCAUGGACAAGCAGCGCGAUGGGGAGUAUGGUGUG
RNAcentral lists this non-coding RNA (131 nucleotides) under Mesodinium rubrum. The record is from RNAcentral. Lineage: Eukaryota; Ciliophora; Litostomatea; Cyclotrichida; Mesodiniidae.